RNAcentral lists this ribosomal RNA (468 nucleotides) under uncultured bacterium. Its description in RNAcentral is "partial 16S ribosomal RNA". It matches the Rfam family "Bacterial small subunit ribosomal RNA", at positions 29 to 508 of the family's 1533-position model. The record is from RNAcentral.
ACGAACGCUGGCGGCGUGCUUAACACAUGCAAGUCGAACGGAAAGGCCCUGCUUUUGUGGGGUGCUCGAGUGGCGAACGGGGGAGUAACACGGGAGUAACCUGCCCUUGACUUUGGGAUAACUUCAGGAAACUGGGGCUAAUACCGGAUAGGAGCUCCUGCUGCAUGGGGGGGGUUGGAAAGUUUCGGCGGUUGGGGAUGGACUCGCGGGUUAUCAGCUUGUUGGUGGGGGAGUGGCUUACCAAGGCUUGGACGGGUAGCCGGCCUGUGAGGGUGACCGGCCACAUUGGGACUGAGAUACGGCCCAGACUCCUACGGGAGGCAGAAGUGGGGAAUAUUGCACAAUGGGCGGAAGCCUGAUGCAGCAACGCCGCGUGCGGAAUGACGGCCUUCGGGUUGUAAACCGCUUUCGCCUGUGACGAAGCGUGAGUGACCGUAAGGGGUAAAGAAGCACCGGCUAACUACGUGC